Hemiscyllium ocellatum (epaulette shark) is the source of this 5694-nucleotide long non-coding RNA. RefSeq lists it as uncharacterized. NCBI's taxonomy places the organism in Eukaryota, Metazoa, Chordata, Chondrichthyes, Orectolobiformes, Hemiscylliidae. The record is from RefSeq and is a predicted model, not a curated record. The transcript is spliced from 3 exons.
CGGUGUUUCAGGUGUAAUUCCAUUCUCAUUAGGGGAUUGUUGUUUCACUGGCUGGUUACAGCCUGUUACUCUUUUUUAAGUUUAUGGGAGUCUUAAUCAACAAUAUGUAAAAGGAGAAAAUGCUGAAGCUGGAGCAAUGGCUGAGCCUCAAGCUGAACGGAGCCUCCUUCAGACACAGUCCGAGAAGCCCCCUGCAGACAACAUCAAUCAGGUCUAGAUUGGGGCACUGGACAUUACAGCCUUUGUCUUGAUGCCAACUUCAGCUUAAACUGGCUUUAAUUUUAUUUCGGACAAAACAGUUAUUUAAUGGAGGAUGAUUCUUUUGAACUUUAGACUCAUCCUGUAAGUGUGUGUUCAACUCAGUAUGGUGCAAUGGUUAGAGUAGGUCAGCUCAUUGGCUCAAUGGUAACUUAGAUCCUGCAAGCAAGAAAUGAACAAAGUUAAAGUAUUUGAGUAAUUCACUGGAAAUUACUACUUGGACUAAGCAUGUAGUUCAGAGAUUUUUUUCAUGGUUUAAAAAAAAAUGAAAUUUAAUACUUUGAAGCAGUUGACUAAGGGGUGCAUGCAGGUAGAUCUGUUGGUGCUAUUCUGCCAAACAGCUUAUUCUGUCUAUACUGAAGAUUGUUGUAGAAUGAAGAAUGCGAUAUGUUUGGUUCAGACAGCAUUAUGUCCUUGCCCAUUUCCAUCAUUUAGAAUUGCAAACCGACUGUGUUUUUAUAAAAACAUCAUGUAAUUAAAUAACCACAACUAAACAAAACCAUACUUUUCUCCUGUAAUUAAUGUAGUGCUGUCUGGAGAAAGCAGCAAGAACAUAAUUUGAAUGUCCCAACAUUGUGUUUGUAUCGCUGAAAGACUUAAUAUAGUACAGGUCGUUCUGUUAUAACGCCAUUUCGUUAACACAAAUUCACUGUAACACGAUUGACAAAUUGGAGACUGUGUUUCUAAAGCACAAACAUUUAAAGCAUGUAUUGGUUAUAAUGUGACUCUGGCCCCAUCAAUUUAAAUAGUACUUCUAUUUUCUUACAACAUUUUCUUAUAACAUGGGAUUACACAAGAACAGCAAUACCAUGUUAAAGCAGAACUGACUAUAUUCCGACUUUAAUAUGCAAAUCGUGUCAAAUAUUCAGAUCAGUUUAUCCUGUCCAGUGGUAACAAAACUUUCCAAACUGGACUGUGGGGGUUGAUGGAAGAUUGGCUGGAGAAUCUGAAAAUUACAUUUGUUGUGUUGGAUACAGGGUUGUGUUGCCUGAUGCUAUCUACUUGCCUACCAGUUAACAAUCAGAAGUCUCUGCCAGUAAUACUGCUUCAAAUUUCACACAGUCAGGACACUUUUCGGAGAGGCUAGUGCAUCAAUGCAGGUGUUUUGUUUACGUUUUGUUUUAAGAUUGCAAUCUGUAUCUAACUCCACAAAAGUCCGCAUUACUGGUUAGACUCCUUGCCUUGAUCAGAGCCUGUGGCUGACUUUCACAAGCUAAGGCCAUAAACCCCACACAACAAAAUCAUUUAAUGUGUCCUCUGGUAUCUCAUCUGUGUUACUUGUGCUUUGUUGAAUGCAGAAAAUUCUUUGUUACAAAUUUAUUUCUUGUGCACACACUUGAAGUCUCUCACUUCUUGUUGUGAUAGUUCAGCAUAUCUUUAAAUUCCUUUUCAUCAAUAUUACCGUCAACAAAAGAAACGGCCCAAUACUGGCCCAUGGUUAGAAAUGUACAAGUUGUCCCCAAAUACACUUUGACCUCAGCAGUUACAAUGACCUGAUAUCUCAACCUAGACCAGCCUUGCUCCAAAGCCUAAGGCUACCCAUCAGCAGCACAAGAGAGAUUAGCUCCGUUAAAUAGUAAGAGUUCUGAAAGAAUCAUAUGAGACUCAAAUGUUAACUUUGUUUCUGCACCCACAGCUGCUGCCAGCAUUACUUGAGUUUCUCCAACGUUCGCUGGGUUUGUUUCCGAUUUCCAGAACCUGGUGUUUUUUUGCAUUUUUUCAGUAUGUUUGAUGGCUAGCAUCAUAAAAAUAGUGAUAUUACUUGUAAAAGCUAACUUUUGUUUCUAAAUCCAUUAGCAUUGAAAAAGGCCCUUCUGUAAAAAUAGACAGUGAAAGCAGGUGCCUUCUCUAUAAAAUCUUAGUUUCCCACUAAGAAAGAAUGGAAAUCAAUCUUGCAGCUGUUGCAUGGCCGACAUCUGUUUCAGAUACUCCCUCCAGUUGGAACAAAGAGAUGGCUGAGAACUUGUCUAUUGCACUGACUGCUCUGCUUGAUGCUGGCUGUGGGCAGGCAUUUACAGGAAUGGUGUUGGUGUAUCAUCUGUAAAUGUUCACCGUCUUAUUUGCAGCAUUGUGCCUUGCUGUCACUGGCACACCCAGCAAAAAGUGAGAAAGUAACUUAGUCUGGGCUGAAUACCAAGUGUGCAAAUUCCUCAAGAUCUGACAUCACUGACAUUUUCAGCAUCACUGGCCAUCUGGUUGCCAUAUUUAAACAGUGCCUGGAAAAUACUGUGUGCAGUCUUUGCUCUUUGUUAGUGUGAUGUUGAGCUUGGCCACUUUAGAUAAAGCAGCAGCUGUUUUCAAUUUGAAAAUAGCAGCGUCUUGAAAGGACAAUAUUUCAGGCAAUUCUGGAAAAAUGGCUUUUAGUCUCCCACCCAUUCCCAUCAUGUCCCGAGCCUUACUCACUGGGAAUACAUCCAGGAAUGCAGCCAAAUUGUUAAUUGCCAAAUGUAAGUUGGCAUCUAAAACCUUGGAGAGAUAUGUAACAGAUGCCAUUUGCCCAGUUUCUGGCUGAGCGUUGUGGGAAGAUAACCGAAGGGUCUGUUUCCGUGCUGUAUGACUCUAUAAUUAAUCAGUCAAUGUUGCAUUUAUGUAGCUUCACAUCUUCACGCUGUGCUCAGGUUGAUUACUCCAUUUUCCAAUCUCCCUCUCCCUUACUGGGUAGUGUCCAGUUCCUCACUCUGACAGCAACUACUCACUCAAAUGUUUGUCUGUUACAGUGAGCGAAAGGAGACUUGUCCCUCAAGAGUCUUAAAAAUUUGCAGUUAAGCCCAAUACAGCAUGGAAAUUGUCAGGAACGAGAACAGAUUAACCCUAACCCUGUUCCUCACCCAGAGUGAGACCAAUUGCAGUAACAGUACUGUCACAAAUGGCUGUGUAGAAAUUACCUCAGGGCAUUGGGGGGUAGGGUUUGAUGCAAAUUCAGCAGGUUCGUUAAAACCUCUGAGUAUAAAAGACCGCGGACCGCCUGCUUUGAUUUUCAGCCAAACUAAAAGGUCCAGGGAAUGCCAACAAAUUUUUUUAUUCUUCAAAACCGGAACUGUAACCAAACGAAUUAACUUUUAAAUGAUUGAUUUAAGGUCAACUGAAAAGGACGCUAGUAUCUCCCAUUGCGAAGCUACUUCUCAGAUAGUGCUCUGAAAGCUUCAAGAUCCGAUUCUCCAUUGACCACCUUCACUGUGGUCAGGAACUGUCAUAGCUAAGGUCUGACCCCUGGGGGAAUGUACACAGAAACAGGAAUAUUUCACAGAACUGAUCUGUCUUGAGUUGAUUGCUUAACUCAGGCCAGAAUAACUCCAUUUAAAAGGCACCUGGCUGGGUUUAUGAACAGCAAGUUUCCCCUGCAUGACACUGACUUUCAUCACUCCCGUAUUGACUGCCAUGCCUUGAACUGUCUGGAUCUUAAACCAUGGUUUCCCUCCCUAAAUCUUUCCACCUCCAUCCUCUUAGAGGGAUAUGAGCCAAAUACUGGCAAAUGGGACUAGAUUAAUUUAGGAUGUCUGGUCAGCAUGGAUGAGUUGAACUGAAGGGUCUGUUUCCGUGCUGUGUUACUCUGUGACUCUAUGUGAUUGAUCGUGUUUCUGAAUGUGUGUGUCCACGUGUCAACAGGGAUAGUUCUGUAUGUGAAACUUUGGUGGGCUGACUAUAGUUAAUCCUAAAAUGUAAUAAGCCAUUGAGAGAAAACUUGCAUUUAUACAUUCACACAAACAAACCUUAUAUAUUUGUUAUGCAUGUUAAAGACAAGUUUUUAGUUUUAGUUUGCUAAUAGGUAAUUCAGAUGUUCUGCAUGGGAAAGAUGUUGCACCAUAUGCGUGACAUGACAUGGGCAUAAUUGAGAAUCCAUUCACAUGGGGUCAGCUUUCCAGGGGAUGCCCCACUCCUGUGUCUUCCACCAUCCUCAAACAUCAGCAAGACCUUGGUUACAACUGCUCUAGGACAUCUACCACCAAGCCAUUGCAAAAAACAUACUUUUGUGGAUUUGUCAGUUCUGCCCAUUUUUUAGUUUGCAUGUAAUCUGAGAUUGUAGGAUAUUUGGGUACAAUUUGACAUCAGGCCAAUAAGUCCAAUUUCAGUGCAACUUUUAAGACAUGCCCAAGGAAGAAACACCAGGCCCAUCACCAAAAUGACAGUCCUUCAAGACAUUUUACCUCCUUCGCAUGUGCAUUUCUCUAGUUUCCCCUGCAUGAUACUGAUUUUCAUCACUCCCCUAUUGACUGCCAUGCCUUGAACUGUCUGGAUCUUAACUUGUGGUUUCCCUCUCUACCCCCAUCCUCUUUUAGGACACUCCUUGAAACUGGCUUUUUGCCAUGUUGGUUACCUGUUGGUUAUGCAGCUUGGUACCAAAUUUCAUUAUCCACUCUGUGAGGUGUCUUGCAUAAAGGAAACCAAUAGAAGCGAGCUGAUAUUGAGUACAGCAUCAUGUUUUAAAUAUGCAGGAAUCCCUAAGAAAUGUACAAUGCAACUCUCAAUGAUGACUAUGGAAACACAUUUCAGAAGUGGGGGGGUGGGGAAGAGGUGUGUGUGUGUUCGUGCCCCAGGUCACAGCUGUUGACCAUGGGGGCAAAACGGGACAUUAUGGGAGCUGUAAGUACAAACACAUGUAAAAACGUGCUGCUUGGCCAUGUUUGAUGUGAACCUUUACCACAGAUUUUUCUUUAUGUGGCUUUUACGUAUCAAAGGAAAACAGCACCUUUAACUGAAAUGCUCAUGUUUACAUACCUUGGUGUUUCCUUUUAGAUGUUGACUUGUUUAGGCUGUAGUUUCUAGUAGUUACACAGUUGUGCCACAAUUGUUACUUAUACAAGAAUGACAAAUAAUCCUCCAGUUGGAAAUACAUCGGCAGUGAUGCAAAGCUAAACCUAUUGGAUAUCCAAUGGUUGAUGUGGAAUGUUUAUGCAGUGUCAGCUCAUAAAUGAAACUGUAAUUGAACCCUUAGAAUUCAUGCAUUAUUUUCACGUAUAAAAUUGGGUAAGUUUUAGUGAAAUUGGUCAAGAGCAAAGAUUGGCGAAAGAGAAAAUGAUGUGUUCUGAUCGGUGCGAUUUUCCAAAAACAUAAUAAGACGCAACAUUGGACAAAGCAAAAGCAAGAUUUUUGAAUGAAUGGAUAAUCAACUGUUAAUCGAGUAACCAAGAGUAAAAACAAAAUACUGCAUAAAUAGUCCCAAAGCUUUUGUGUGAUUGCUUUUUAUUGUGUAAGCUAUUGUAAUAAAUGAAAUUAUAGAUCAGUGUUAACAAACCAGUUCCAGAUUUGAUCUUUCUAAUAGAUGAUGACAUUUUGGCUGGAAUAUAGCUGUCUCAUGUAAAUCCAGAUGAGCUGUGACUUAGUAAAUCACGUUGAGCAUCAAAAUCUAUCACAGUCAAUUAAACUUUGUACCUCAGUGACUCAAUAACAGAACUGUAACUAAAUUGAAAGCACGGAAGGAAUAAACUUGUACAUUAA